Molecule: ribosomal RNA, 481 nt
Filed under: uncultured bacterium
Lineage: Bacteria
Description: partial 16S ribosomal RNA
Rfam family: Bacterial small subunit ribosomal RNA
Source: RNAcentral
GACGAACGCUGGCGGCGUGCUUAACACAUGCAAGUCGAGCGGAAAGGCCACUUCGGUGGUACUCGAGCGGCGAACGGGUGAGUAACACGUGAGUAAUCUGCCCCUGGCUUUGGGAUAGCCACCGGAAACGGUGAUUAAUACCGGAUACGACCACUUCUCGCAUGGGAUGGUGGUGGAAAGUUUUUUCGGCCAGGGAUGUGCUCGCGGCCUAUCAGCUUGAUGGUGAGGUAAUGGCUCACCAUGGCUUCGUCGGGUAGCCGGCCUGAGAGGGUGACCGGUCACACUGGGACUGAGACACGGCACAGACUCCUACGGGAGGCAGCGGUGGGGAAUAUUGGACAAUGGGCGGAAGCCUGAUCCAGCAACGCCGCGUGAGGGAUGACGGCCUUCGGGUUGUAAACCUCUUUCAGCAGGGACGAAGCGCAAGUGACGGUACCUGCAGAAGAAGCACCGGCCAACUACGUGCCAGCCGCCGCAGUAA